This 492-nucleotide ribosomal RNA is filed under the name uncultured bacterium. RNAcentral's name for it is "partial 16S ribosomal RNA". It matches the Rfam family "Bacterial small subunit ribosomal RNA", at positions 29 to 507 of the family's 1533-position model. The record is from RNAcentral.
AGUGAACGCUGGCGGUAGGCCUAACACAUGCAAGUCGAACGGCAGCACAGUAAGAGCUUGCUCUUACGGGUGGCGAGUGGCGGACGGGUGAGGAAUACAUCGGAAUCUACUUUUUCGUGGGGGAUAACGUAGGGAAACUUACGCCAAUACCGCAUACGACCUACGGGUGAAAGCAGGGGAUCUUCGGACCUUGCGCGAUUGAAUGAGCCGAUGUCGGAUUAGCUAGUUGGCGGGGUAAAGGCCCACCAAGGCGACGAUCCGUAGCUGGUCUGAGAGGAUGAUCAGCCACACUGGAACUGAGACACGGUCCAGACUCCUACGGGAGGCAGCAGUGGGGAAUAUUGGACAAUGGGCGCAAGCCUGAUCCAGCCAUACCGCGUGGGUGAAGAAGGCCUUCGGGUUGUAAAGACCUUUUGUUGGGAAAGAAAAGCAGCAGGUUAAUACCCCGCUGUUCUGACGGUACCCAAAGAAUAAGCACCGGCUAACUUCGUG